RNAcentral lists this ribosomal RNA (429 nucleotides) under Triatoma sordida. RNAcentral's name for it is "eukaryotic LSU rRNA". The record is from RNAcentral. Lineage: Eukaryota; Metazoa; Arthropoda; Insecta; Hemiptera; Reduviidae.
AUUUGAGAUGGCCUCUCGCCCUAUUCAGUGUAACAGCUGUGGUAGUGGGUUUGGUCGCUCGCAUUUAAAUUGGAAGGGUAAUGGUGGACCGCACUUCUCCCUUAGUAGGACGUUGCGACCUGUCAAAUAAUAUCCUAAGUAUUUGGCUAAUUUGUCUGUUUUUAGGCAGUACUGAAAGGUAUUUCCUUUAACAGUUUUAGCCGUUUACAUACUGGAUAUAAUUGACAGUAACGAAUCAUGGUGUUGAGCCACUUACUUUGUAAGUGUCCUUUAUGGCUGUUUGCAAGUGGGUUGGUUAAUUAGUUUUAGUCGGAUUUUGGUCCGUCUAACUAUUCCGCCUACUGUUGGUAAACUGUUCCUUGGACAGUGCUUAUAACACCGGUCGGCAGCGAUUCAGGUUCAGGCUCUUAUCCGACCCGUCUGAAACAC